CCUACGGGGGGCAGCAGUAGGGAAUAUUGCUCAAUGGGGGAAACCCUGAAGCAGCAACGCCGCGUGGAGGAUGAAGGUUUUAGGAUUGUAAACCCCUUUUGUUAGAGAAGAUUAUGACGGCACCUAACGAAUAAGCACCGGCUAACUCCGUGCCAGCAGCCGUGGCAACACGGAAGGAGCAAGCGUUACUCGGAAUCACUGGGCGUAAAGAGUGCGUAGGCGGGGUAAUAAGUCAGAUGUGAAAUCCUGUAGCUUAACUACAGAACUGCAUUUGAAACUGUUACUCUGGAGUGUGGGAGAGGUAGGUGGAAUGCUUGGUGUAGGGGUGAAAUCCGUAGAGAUCAAGAGGAAUACUCAUUGCGAAGGCGACCUGCUGGAACAUUACUGACGCUGAUGCACGAAAGCGUGGGGAGCGAACAGGAUUAGAUACCCUGGUAGUC
This 440-nucleotide ribosomal RNA is filed under the name uncultured bacterium. RNAcentral describes it as "partial 16S ribosomal RNA". It matches the Rfam family "Bacterial small subunit ribosomal RNA", at positions 338 to 795 of the family's 1533-position model. The record is from RNAcentral.